Symphalangus syndactylus (siamang) is the source of this 2847-nucleotide long non-coding RNA. RefSeq lists it as uncharacterized. The record is from RefSeq and is a predicted model, not a curated record. NCBI's taxonomy places the organism in Eukaryota, Metazoa, Chordata, Mammalia, Primates, Hylobatidae.
ACAGCCCGCGAGGAAGCCCGUCGGGGCCGGCGGGGCUGAUGGAAGGCCUGAGGAAUUCGCAGCUGGCGGCGCGGCCGGGCGCGUUCCCUUCCCCUCUCUCCGUUGCCCGGCGAGGGAGCCACAGCGCAGCGGUUGCCAUGGCCACGGGCCGGGCGUGGGGCUGGGGGACCAGGGGCCGCUGAGCCUCGAUCACCUUGUCCUGCUCGAGCCAGGUUGGCAUGAACUGGAAGAACCCCGCUGCGGUGGGCGGGAGGUGCUAGGGCCAGGGGAAGCACCGAGGGACCCCGCCGCCCGGCCUGCGCCCUGAGGCCGCAGGGUUCUGUGGAAAUGCCGUGUCUGCCUCCCCACCUCCUGCGCUCACACAUGCAGGCCUGGGGCCUGCGGGUCCCGGGGCUCUGAGCCUCCGCAGCCCACUGGCCGCAGCCGCAGGCCCCGCACUGUUGGACUAGGUGGACACGGAGGCUGAGGGGGAGUUUCCAAGGGGCCUGGCCUCACGCUCUGCCCGUCACAGCCGCCACCCCUCACCGGCCCUCCACCCACCCCAACCUCCUUAACCUCUCCCGGCCUCGGUUUCCUCACCUAUUAACUAGGGAUUAGUCAUAGCUACCAUCCAGGCUUGUUGUAUUAAAAUAGAAUAAUUAUGUAAUGUGCCGUGUGCGCUCCAAACGUGGUCCUCUUUCCCUGUCCCACACCUCCUUCCUCCUGCAUCAGGCCUGGGGAGGGGAGCGUGCCCAUGUCACCCCCAGCCCCCAGGCCUAGAGUCCUGGACACAUGGACGCCCCUGCCAGAGCUCCCCUCCCCGCGCUUGGGGUUACCUUGAACCCCGCCUCCUACAAGAGGAUGGUCCGGCCUAUUGUCGGAACCUGCAGGAAUCCCAGGCUGCGACCCAAGAAUAUUAGCGGAGGCCCAGCCUGGCUGGGGCUCUGCAAGUCAGACCUGGGUGCCCCAGAGAGCUGCUCUGGGAAAGACGUUUACCUGCUGCCCAGAGCUGGGACUGCAGACCCUGAUUGGCAAGGGCUUGGAGAGUAGCUGAGAACCUUCCCUUCAGCUACUGAAGACCAGACAGGGCUUUCUGUAUCACGCUGCCUGACGAUGAUGAGGGUGCAGUGACUAAGAGCGCAGAUGAAAGGCCCAGCUCUCCAACCAGGUGGAUGGAUUUGAAAGGAGCUUCUAGCUGGGCAUGGUGGCUCACGCCUGUAAUCCCAGCACUUUGGGAGGCUGAGGCGGGCGGACUACCUGAGGUUGGGAGUUGAAGACCAGCCUGACCAACAUGGAGAAACCCCAUCUCUACUAAAAAUACAAGAUUAGCCGGGCAUGGUGGCGGGCACCUGUAAUCCCAGCUACUCGGGAGGCUGAGGCAGGAGAAUCGCUUGAACCCAGGAGGUGGAGGUUGCAGUGAGCCAAGAUCAUGCCACUGCACUCCAGCCUGGGCAACAAGAGUGAAACUCCGUCUCAAAAAACAAAAAAAAGAAAGGAGCUUCUGAGAGAUGGGGUCUCCACCUCCCCAUCAGAUACUCCAGGGCUUUGGAAAGAGCUGGCUGGCUGUUGGGCAUCACCUCAACUUUUCCCUAGGUGAUGCUGCCAAGGAACUGUGGCACUGUCCCUACUUCCCACGUCCAGCUCCACGGUUCCACCUCCCACCCCCCUUGCCUGUGGAAGCUCAAAAUAAGCUUUCUAGAGGAUGAUGUUUCUUGUGUGAGGGGUCAUCUGAGGUUGUAAAGACUGAAGGUCUUCACCAGAGAAACGCAGGAAGCAUCCCGCAGCUAAGUGAGGCAAUGUCUGGGGCACGCCAGGCCACGCCAGGUAGCUCAGAGGGAAGGAACGGCCCUGGCUACACAGCCUGCCUCUGAGCCCUGCUGGUGGCCAGGCCAUCUGCUGGGCUCCAUCCCUGGGCGUCUUUCCAGCCUGUCUUCAGUGCUCAGGGCGUCUUUAGCAGAGCAUAAAGUGGCAUUUCACUUGUCCCUCCACCCAACAGCAAGGAAGUGGACCUCUCUUAGGCUUUUCUUGCAAGACGAAAGGAAAGAAAGAAUGUUCUCAAUGUGAGAUCCUACAGGACCACUGUACUGGGUCGAAUAGCGUCCCCCCCACCAAAUUCAUGUCUGCGUAGAACCUAUAAAUGUGACUUUAUUUGGAAAGAGGGUCUUUGCAGAUGUAAUUAAGAUGUACUUCACAGGCCUGGGGAGAUCAAGGCCAACAGCAUGCUGUAUUAGGAUGGCUCCAGUCCAAUGACUGAUGCCCUUAUAUGAGGGAAAUCUGGACACAGACACAGAGGAGGCCACACACACAGAGGAGGUCUGGUGGUGGAGGCAGAGACGGGAGAGAUGUGUCUACAAACCAAUGAGCGAGCAGGACCGCCGGCCACCACCAGAAGCUGGCAGGGGCAAGGAAGUCAUUCUUCCGUGGGGGCUUCAGAGGGGGCACAGUCCCAGUACACCUUGAAUGUUGGCCUUCUGGCCUCCAGAGCUGCAAGAGAAUCCAUUUCGGUUGUUUGAAGCCACUGAGUUUGUGGCGUUUUGUUAUGGCUGUCCUAGGAAACGAAUGCAAUCACCAAAUGUCAAACACAGGGCAGCUGGGAAAAACAAGAAGGAAAUGCAUGAGGCAUGUAAAGAAAAGACCUGGAAGAGACCAAGGAGGGACAGGAAGGAACGCUUCCUCAACUUCCUCCUGCACCCGGACAGGAAGCCGGAGACCUAGUGGCUGAGCCUUGGAAGAAGCGGCUACUUUUUCCCCCCACAAGAGCGGGUGAGCUUGGAUGUCAGACCAAUGAGAAGUGUCUGAAUCUUGCUGGGUCCCAGGGAGACCCUGUUAAUAAUAAUAAACUCACGAUAUGCUCUUGUCUCAUCCUCA